GUGCUAGUAGCUCAAUUGGUAGAGUACCAGAUUGUGGUUCUGGGCGUUGUGGGUUCAAGUCCCAUCUGGCACCCCA
This 76-nucleotide transfer RNA is filed under the name Elusimicrobia bacterium RIFOXYB2_FULL_49_7. RNAcentral's name for it is "tRNA-His". It matches the Rfam family "tRNA". From Rfam's summary of the family: Transfer RNA (tRNA) molecules are approximately 80 nucleotides in length. Their secondary structure includes four short double-helical elements and three loops (D, anti-codon, and T loops). Lineage: Bacteria; Pseudomonadati; Elusimicrobiota. The record is from RNAcentral.